Molecule: ribosomal RNA, 253 nt
Filed under: uncultured bacterium
Lineage: Bacteria
Description: partial 16S ribosomal RNA
Rfam family: Bacterial small subunit ribosomal RNA
Source: RNAcentral
GACGGAAGGUGCAAGCGUUGCUCGGAAUUACUGGGCGUAAAGCGUGCGCAGGCGGUUCGUUAAGUUCGAUGUGAAAGCCCCGGGCUCAACCUGGGAAUUGCAUUGGAAACUGGCGGGCUUGAGUGUGGCAGAGGGGGGUGGAAUUCCACGUGUAGCAGUGAAAUGCGUAGAGAUGUGGAGGAACACCGAUGGCGAAGGCAGCCCCCUGGGCUAACACUGACGCUCAGGCACGAAAGCGUGGGGAGCAAACAGG